GGUUGAUCCUGCCAGUAGUCAUAUGCUUGUCUAAAAGAUUAAGCCAUGCAUGUCUAAGUAUAAGCACUUCUUAUUACUGUAAAACUGCGGACGGCUCAUUAAAUCAGUUAUAAUUUACAUGAUCUUAUAUUUCACAUGGACAACCGUGGGAAUUCUAGAGCUAAUACAUGAUUCAUAACCCAGGACCUUCUUUUGAAGGAAAUGGUGAAUUUAUUAGAUUAACCAACGUGGGGUAUUAAACAGUGGAGAACUUGUGUCUUCACUGGCCUCAGUCCCUUCUGGGAUACUUUUGGUGAUUCAAAAUAACUAAUCGAAUCGCAGAGAUGAUUUAUCAUCGGCGAUGUAUCAUACAAAUUUCUGCCCUAUUAAGUUUCGCUGGUUGUGUAGUGGACAACCAGGCUGAUAAUGGGUAACGGGGGAUUAGGGUUCGAUUCCGGAGAGGGAGCCUGAGAAAUGGCUACCACUUCCAAGGAAGGCAGCAGACGCGCAAAUUACCCAAUCCUAAUUCAGGGAGGUAGUGACAAGAAAUACCAAUACAAUGCCAAUGGUGUUGUGUUUGGAAUGAGAGUAACCUAAAACGUUACUCGAGGAACAAUUGGAGGGCAAGUCUGGUGCCAGCAGCCGCGGUAAUUCCAGCUCCAAUAGUGUAUAUUAAAGUUGUUGCAGUUAAAAAGCUCGUAGUUGGAUGUCGGUUACUUUGAAGAUUGUCCACACUUUAAGUGUGCCUACAUAAUUCAAGUACCUUCUUUCAGGUAGUAUCUUGUAUACUCCUGAUUAUUUACUUUGAGAAAAUUUGAGUGUUCAAAGCAGGCGUAAUCUUGCCUUUGAAAAUAUUAGCAUGGGAUAAUGAAAUAAGACUUUUUGCCUUAUUCUCGUUGGUUCUUUGGGCUUAAGUAAUGAUUAAUAGAGACAGUUGGGGUAAUCUGUAUUUGAUCGCCAGAGGUGAAAUUCUAAGACUGAUCAAAGACAAACUAGUGCGAAAGCAUUUUACAAGGAUGUUUUCAUUAAUCAAGAACGAAAGUUGGGGGAUCGAAGAUGAUCAGAUACCGUCGUAGUCCCAACCAUAAACUAUGUCGACCAAGGAUUCGAGAUCGUUACAUGAAUGACCUCUCGGGCACUUAUAGAGAAAUCAUAAGUAUUUGGAUUCCGGGGGGAGUAUGGUCGCAAGGCUGAAACUUAAAGGAAUUGACGGAAGGGCACCACAAGGAGUGGAAUAUGCGGUUUAAUUUGACACAACACGGGAAAGCUUACCAGGUCCAGACACAAGGAGGA
This 1272-nucleotide ribosomal RNA is filed under the name metagenome. RNAcentral describes it as "SSU rRNA". It matches the Rfam family "Eukaryotic small subunit ribosomal RNA", at positions 6 to 1239 of the family's 1831-position model. The record is from RNAcentral.